AUUUUCUGCUUUAUGUCUAUACUUGAGUUACUUUUACCUUUGUUUGUUUCUCCUGCUUCAUCAAGCUACUUAAUCUGUUAAAAGCCCCACUUGUUUAAUUUGUUAAAGACUUAGGAAUAAAACACCUAAGCUAUGCUCGAUAAUUCUUCUAAGGAAUCAAUUAUACCGUUUUUCAUUUCUUGCCCCCGAGCCAAUCAAGGUUAGAAUUUUAGCAAGGGACUUAACUUCUAACUUAUGAACUUUUCCAAUUUCAUAAGGGCAUUCUUAUCUGCAGGCCUUUUCCGAACUGGAUCUGCCUUAAGGAUAAAAAUCUUUAAGCUACGUGUUUAAU
RNAcentral lists this long non-coding RNA (331 nucleotides) under Manihot esculenta (cassava). Its description in RNAcentral is "long non-coding RNA (MESC_LNC005279)". The record is from RNAcentral. Lineage: Eukaryota; Viridiplantae; Streptophyta; Magnoliopsida; Malpighiales; Euphorbiaceae.